RNAcentral lists this non-coding RNA (46 nucleotides) under Schistosoma margrebowiei. Lineage: Eukaryota; Metazoa; Platyhelminthes; Trematoda; Strigeidida; Schistosomatidae. The record is from RNAcentral.
UUUCAGCUGACGAUCCCCAAAACAGAAAGAAACGCGCGUCCUGGAU